CCUACGGGUGGCAGCAGUGAGGAAUAUUGGUCAAUGGGCGCGAGCCUGAACCAGCCAAGUAGCGUGAAGGAUGAAUGCCCUACGGGUUGUAAACUUCUUUUAUAAAGGAAUAAAGUGAGGCACGUGUGCCUUUUUGUAUGUACGUUAUGAAUAAGGAUCGGCUAACUCCGUGCCAGCAGCCGCGGUAAUACGGAGGAUCCGAGCGUUGUCCGGAUUUAUUGGGUUUAAGGGGAGCGUAGAUGGCUUGUUAAGUCAGUGGUGAAAGUUUGGGGCUAAACCGUAAAAUUGCAAUUGAUACUGGCGGCCUUGGGUACAGUUGGGGUAGGCGGAAUUCGUGGUGUGGCGGUGAAAUG
This 353-nucleotide ribosomal RNA is filed under the name uncultured bacterium. RNAcentral's name for it is "partial 16S ribosomal RNA". It matches the Rfam family "Bacterial small subunit ribosomal RNA", at positions 338 to 688 of the family's 1533-position model. The record is from RNAcentral.